AAGGUGUUGCUCUUUUCUCAAUGUUCUCUUUGUUUAUACGUAUACUGAUCACAAUAUAAUGGAUAUUUACUAAUGAUAUUUGAAUUUCUCAUUUGUGGUCACUUUAGUGCAAUGAAGUUCUUCUCUUUGUUCCACUUUCCGUUAAUUGGUUCAGUAUCUGGAAUGCCUGCCUAAUUCUUAGUAAUGGGGUAACUAAGGAAGCAAAAUAAAUCAUCAAAAUAUUAGCAUAACAUGUGGGUUAUUGCAUUUUCUAGAAAAUAGAUUGUGUUUUCUAGUAUUAUUGCUGAUAUUUCUUUAACUUUUUUUUACGCUAAAACCAAUAAACUAACUAUGCCUGAGUUUCUUCUUGCACCUUA
RNAcentral lists this unclassified non-coding RNA (356 nucleotides) under Hevea brasiliensis (rubber tree). Lineage: Eukaryota; Viridiplantae; Streptophyta; Magnoliopsida; Malpighiales; Euphorbiaceae. The record is from RNAcentral.